UAGGGAAUCUUCCACAAUGGACGCAAGUCUGAUGGAGCAACGCCGCGUGAGUGAAGAAGGCUUUCGGGUCGUAAAACUCCGUUAUUGAAGAAGAACGUGUGUGACAGUAACUGGUCAUGCAGUGACGGUAUUCAAUCAGAAAGUCACGGCUAACUACGUGCCAGCAGCCGCGGUAAUACGUAGGUGGCAAGCGUUGUCCGGAUUUAUUGGGCGUAAAGCGAGUGCAGGCGGUCUUUUAAGUCUGAUGUGAAAGCCUUCGGCUUAACCGAAGAAGGGCAUCGGAAACUGGGAGACUUGAGUGCAGAAGAGGAGAGUGGAACUCCAUGUGUAGCGGUGAAAUGCGUAGAUAUAUGGAAGAACACCAGUGGCGAAGGCGGCUCUCUGGUCUGUAACUGACGCUGAGGCUCGAAAGCGUGGGUAGCAAACAGGAUUAGAUACCCUGGUAGUC
RNAcentral lists this ribosomal RNA (448 nucleotides) under uncultured bacterium. RNAcentral describes it as "partial 16S ribosomal RNA". It matches the Rfam family "Bacterial small subunit ribosomal RNA", at positions 355 to 795 of the family's 1533-position model. The record is from RNAcentral.